AUGAAGAAUUUAGAUGUGUAUACCAUUUCCAGUGUGAUUAAGGAUCUCUAUGGAAUAAAGGAUGACAUCUUCCUCAGUGAGCCCUUCAUCCUGGAACAAAAUGGAAUCUCAGAUGUUGUGGAUUCCAGAAAGCAGGCUUCUCACACUCGGACAGCAAUCUGCUGAAGAAGGCAACUUUAAGAAACCAACUCGAAGCAAUAGGCAGAGAAGUAAGUUGAGAGGAGCUGCCUCGGGAAAGAAGUCAGCUGGUUCACAGCCAAAGAAUCCGAUCCCUGCCCGGAAGAUGGGGAGGUCACUCUGCUGAGAAACCCGCUUCUGGUUCUGUGUGGAACACAAGGAAGAACAAGCAGAAGACUCCUGGCAACAGAGACAGUGGUAGUACCAAUGAAGAAAAGGGCACGGGCUGACCCCCGCUCUGGAGAGCGAGGAGGCAUUCAAGAGUAGGAUGGAGGUGAAGGCGACGAUCCCUGAAGAAUUAAAACCAUGGCUGGUGGAGGACUGGGACUUGAUUACUAGGCAGAAGCAGUUGUUCCAGCUCUCUGCUAAAAAGAAUGUCGAUGCUAUUCUUGAGGAGUACGCCAAUUGCAAGAAAUCACAGGGAAAUGUUGAUAAUAAGGAGCAUGCAGUUAAUGAAGUUGUAGGAGGGAUAAAAAGAGUAUUUCAAUGUGAUGCUGGACGCUCAGCUGCUCUGCAAGGUUGAAAGGCCUCAGUAUGCUGAGAUUCUGCUGGCUCACUCUGAUGCGCCAAUGUCGGAGACCUACCGUGGGCCACACCUACUGAGAUUACUCAUGAGAACUGGGGCAAUGUUGGGUAUACUCCCCUUGAUGGGAAAAGCCUGGCAUUAUUGCUGGGCUAUCUGCAUGAUUUCCUUAAGUAUCUGGCAAUGAAUUCUGCCUCUCUGUUUACUUCCAAUGAUUACAAAGUGGCUUCUGCUGACUGUCAUCGGAAAGCCCUGUGAAGGUCUACUGACCACUCACGAUUGUCUGGUAUCUGUAAACACUUCUGUUUAGUCCUUUCAUGGUAUAACUGAUGUUCUUUAAAACUCAGUGUAAAACAGGGCUUAUGUUUCAGUUUAUUUUCCUGUUCUGUUGUAGACAGAAAAUAAAAGGAGUGCCUAGCUCCUUUCCUCAUUUCAAAAUUGCUACCAGUGUAUGCAAUAAUUAGACAAAGAAGAAAUUCAGUAGACCAUUUUAUUGCCUAGUUGACAACAUUGCUUGAAUGCUGGUGGUUCUAUCCCUUUGACACUACACAGUUUUCUAAUAUGUGUUAAUGCUACGUGAUGAGAUGCCCUG
RNA transcript from Mus pahari (shrew mouse), 1292 nucleotides. It is a transcript of the gene named mortality factor 4-like protein 2, with no coding region annotated. NCBI's taxonomy places the organism in Eukaryota, Metazoa, Chordata, Mammalia, Rodentia, Muridae. The record is from RefSeq and is a predicted model, not a curated record. The transcript is spliced from 2 exons.